This 47-nucleotide non-coding RNA is filed under the name human gut metagenome. The record is from RNAcentral.
GUUGUAAUUUACUUUCAAAUUAGUAUCUUUGAGCCAUUGGGAGCAGC